This 195-nucleotide ribosomal RNA is filed under the name uncultured Pedobacter sp. RNAcentral describes it as "partial 16S ribosomal RNA". It matches the Rfam family "Bacterial small subunit ribosomal RNA", at positions 334 to 525 of the family's 1533-position model. Lineage: Bacteria; Pseudomonadati; Bacteroidota; Sphingobacteriia; Sphingobacteriales; Sphingobacteriaceae. The record is from RNAcentral.
UACUCCUACGGGAGGCAGCAGCUAAGGAAUAUUGGUCAAUGGAGGGAACUCUGAACCAGCCAUGCCGCGUGCAGGACGACUGCCCUAUGGGUUGUAAACUGCUUUUGUCAGGGAAUAAACCUCCGGUCGUGACCGGAUCUGAAUGUACCUGAAGAAUAAGGAUCGGCUAACUCCGUGCCAGCAGCCGCGGUAAUA